AAACAUUGCUUAUUCAAUGAUUAUCAAAUGGCUACAAGGUGUUAGCUCUCUCCAGAUCUACUAUAUGAGCACUGUGAAAUAAGGAGCAAGGUUAUCAGCUAAGAGUGUCUGUGACGGUGUUACAGGUGAAGGUGGGGAAGUAUGGCAUCAUCACCUUGAAGAUUGCAUGGAAAAGCAGCCUCAACACCUUCCCUUGCUAUAAAGUUAUACAAACAGUGUGAAGAAAAGGUUGCGCAGGAUGUCGGGAGCCCUAUCCGACACCCUCCUACCUUACAGGGAGAUUGCCUGCACUCCAUGAUGCUGUCCACUAACUGAGGAUGGAUAAAUCUGUAUCAAGCUGAAAAACAAAAUGAAUAUUAAAAUUAAUACACUAUAAUCUCUGUGAGAGGUAAAUAAUCAAAAUUAAGGCUUCAUGGACUUGUCAUUACUAUCUGAUAAAAAUAAAAUUUUCAUCAUAGGUAAAGGGAG
Long non-coding RNA from Mustela erminea (ermine), 468 nucleotides. RefSeq lists it as uncharacterized. The transcript has 3 exons. The record is from RefSeq and is a predicted model, not a curated record. Lineage: Eukaryota; Metazoa; Chordata; Mammalia; Carnivora; Mustelidae.